Molecule: long non-coding RNA, 1275 nt
Organism: Amphiprion ocellaris (clown anemonefish)
Lineage: Eukaryota; Metazoa; Chordata; Actinopteri; Pomacentridae
Source: Ensembl
UCAGAUGCUGCAGUGCAUGAAGACUCUUAUGUUCACUCUUGCCACCAACAGGACAUCUGGUGGGUUUUAUUUUUUGUUCAGACAUUAGUUAGCAGCUGCAGGAAGUAAAUAAACCUGGAAGACAGAGGCAGCUACUCGGUCUGAUGGUUCACCUGGACAGUGAUGGGGCAGGGCUACACAAAGCUGGACCCCUAUUGGUCAAGAAUUACCAAACACAGACACGGAUUUGCACCAGAUGGGACCGUUAAGGGCUUUAUAGGAGGGAAAGGUUUUAAAUUCUGCUCUGAAACCGAUCAACCCUCACAUUACAAAGCUAUUCAUUUCACCUCAAUAUGUUCACUAUUUUAUGUGGAAGCAGAAAAGCUCUACAUGAGAAAUAAGUAGACUGGAUCUGAUGCAAAGCUAUACUUUAUUUGAAAGAGGAGAUACAAGGAGUCGGACCAAGGACCUCUGCAGUUGUGGAUGGACUGGUCCAGAUGUGUAAUGGAAGUGCUGGUUGUGGAACUGUCAGCAUCAAUCAUCUGAGACCUCACCACUGCUGUCAGACAGCUCGUCAUCCCCAGAAGAGUCGUAAUCCCCAGACGCCUCAUCCCCAGAAGCAUCAUCAUCCAUGAGUUCUGGAUCAGAAGCCUCCAUGUCAUCCAUCCCUCUCCCCAGUCUGGGUUCUAAAGGUGAAAAGGUGUCGUCAUCCUCCUCAGAGUCACCAGACGUCUCCAUGUCAGCCAACCCUCUCCCCAGUCUGGGUUUUACAGGCAUCGAGGAGUUCAGUGUUUCUUCAGCUUCCACCGUCAGUGUUGUGGUUGGAGCUGCUAUUGUGGAGUUUGUCUGGGCAUCAGUCAUGUUGGCUGUUGUGUUGUUGGCGUCAUCAGACUCCUCAUCAUCUGACUGCUCUUCAUCCAACUCGUCAUCUGAAUCCUCCUCAUAACCAUCCAACUCUUUAUCAUCCUCAUCAGAAGGGCCAUCAUCUGAUGCAUCCAGGUAUUCUGAGGAAUUGUCCACCAUCUGUGUGAUUACAUUUGACAGGUGCAUUAGCAGAGUUUCCUUCAACAUGUGGAGGUUCUGCUCCUCCCAUCAUUUCAGUUUCCCCUCUCACCUGUCGGGGUUCCACAUUGUGCCAAUGACGAGGAUUCACCCCCCAGUCCCACUGGUCCUGGUGUUGCAGAGCUCUGCGCCGACGAUCCCGCCCAUCUCCUCUGGCUGCACCGAAACAAGCCGCCAGCAUCGUGGACAUCUCCCCAGCCGAAUCCAAAUAGAUCACUUCAAACAUGGAGUCCU